UCGAGAAUUUUUCUCAAUGGGGGCAACCCUGAAGGAGCGACGCCGCGUGGAGGAUGAAGGCUUUCGGGUUGUAAACUCCUGUCAUUUGAGAACAAGUUGGACGCAGUAACUACGCGUCCAUUGAUAGUAUCAGAAGAGGAAGGGACGGCUAACUCUGUGCCAGCAGCCGCGGUAAUACAGAGGUCCCAAGCGUUGUUCGGAUUCAUUGGGCGUAAAGGGUGCGUAGGUGGCGUCGUAAGUCAGAUGUGAAAUCUCGGGGCUUAACUCCGAAACUGCAUUUGAUACUGCGGUGCUUGAGGACUGGAGAGGAGACUGGAAUUUACGGUGUAGCAGUGAAAUGCGUAGAGAUCGUAAGGAAGACCAGUGGCGAAGGCGGGUCUCUGGACAGUUCCUGACACUGAGGCACGAAGGCCAGGGGAGCAAACG
RNAcentral lists this ribosomal RNA (426 nucleotides) under Candidatus Udaeobacter sp. Its description in RNAcentral is "partial 16S ribosomal RNA". It matches the Rfam family "Bacterial small subunit ribosomal RNA", at positions 355 to 774 of the family's 1533-position model. The record is from RNAcentral. Lineage: Bacteria; Pseudomonadati; Verrucomicrobiota; Spartobacteria; Chthoniobacterales; Chthoniobacteraceae. RNAcentral also lists the same sequence under 1 other name.